CCACAUCCCGAUCACAUCUCAUCAUGCAAGCACCAAGCCUCCUGUUCUCGCUGCUCCUCGGAGCGCUUCUGAUUGGACUCUGUAUGUCUCGUCCGCCAAAGGUUCACCAACAGCGCCACCAACUCCGCCAAUCGGGUAACUGCAGCGAAGGGUCUUAUAUUUGCAACGACGGACGCUGCAUUCCCGAUUUCUGUAAAUGCAACAAAUGGAUAGACUGCAUUGGGGGAGAGGACGAGGUCGGCUGCGCCUGUGACCCGCUUGACUUCAAAUGCAACGACGGGAUUUGCAUCUCUUCCGUGUUUCAAUGUGACGGAAUUCCGAUGUGCCUUGGUGGGGAAGACGAGGCCGAUUGCAGUAAGUGUGACUUCAUGGAGCGUUGCAACCGAUCGGAGAACCCUGAAUUAUUCCGCUGUUGUUUUGUCUCGGUUAAAGAUUCAGAAGUGUUUAAGGUAUCAGUGUUGGUAAAAAUAAAAUGGCGUGAUUUCACGGAUUGCCUGAUCAAUACAUUGUCUGUUAAUUAAUUUACAUUCAUUGAAAUUAAAUCGCGGAGGGUCGGCCAUUUUUGUCGACCGUAAACAUGAAAAAUGGACUCUCCAUGGCAACGUCUUGGUCGCACAAUGUUCUGUGAAUCGCCCAUAUUCGUUAGACAUUGUCGUUUUUCUCUUGUUUUACUCCUCAUAAAGGUUGUCUGUCUAAUCAGUUUACCUGCAACGACGGAACAUGCAUCCCCGGUAGCUUUAAAUGCGACAAAUGGAUAGACUGCAACAAGGGAGAGGACGAGAUCGGCUGCGCCUGUGACCCGCUUGACUUCAAAUGCAACGACGGCAUUUGCAUCCUUCCCGAGAUGGAAUGUGACGGAAAUCUGAUGUGCCUUGGUGGGG
This 881-nucleotide unclassified non-coding RNA is filed under the name Acanthaster planci (crown-of-thorns starfish). RNAcentral describes it as "low-density lipoprotein receptor 1-like, transcript variant X2". Lineage: Eukaryota; Metazoa; Echinodermata; Asteroidea; Valvatida; Acanthasteridae. The record is from RNAcentral.